This 468-nucleotide ribosomal RNA is filed under the name uncultured bacterium. RNAcentral's name for it is "partial 16S ribosomal RNA". It matches the Rfam family "Bacterial small subunit ribosomal RNA", at positions 28 to 507 of the family's 1533-position model. The record is from RNAcentral.
GACGAACGCUGGCGGCGGGCUUAACACAUGCAAGUCGAGCGGAAAGGCCCGGCUGUUGUGGGGGGGUCGGUAAGCGAACGGGUGAGUAACACGUGAGUAACCUAGCCUUGACUUUGUGAUAACAUCAGGGAACGUGGGCUAAUACCGGAUAGUAGAUCCUGCUGCAUUGGGGGGGUGGGAGAGUUUCGGCUGUUUGGGGUGGACUCGCAGCUUAUCAGCUUGUUGGUGGGGUAGUGGAUGACCAAGCCUUUGAAUGGUAGCCGGGCUGAGAGGGUAACCGGAUCCAUUGCGACUGAGCUAAGGCACAGACUCAUCUGGGAGGCAGCACUGGGGAAUAUUGCAUAAUGGGAGGAAGGCUGACGUAGCACAGCCGUGCGCGGGAUGUGGGGCUUCGGGUUGUAAACUGAUUCUGCCUGUGCCGAAGAGAGAGUGACGGUAACCGGUAAAGAAGCCCCGGCUAACUACGUG